This 253-nucleotide ribosomal RNA is filed under the name uncultured bacterium. RNAcentral's name for it is "partial 16S ribosomal RNA". It matches the Rfam family "Bacterial small subunit ribosomal RNA", at positions 524 to 776 of the family's 1533-position model. The record is from RNAcentral.
UACGUAGGGUGCGAGCGUUGUCCGGAAUUAUUGGGCGUAAAGAGCUUGUAGGCGGUUUGUCGCGUCUGCUGUGAAAAUCCGGGGCUCAACCCCGGACUUGCAGUGGGUACGGGCAGACUAGAGUGUGGUAGGGGAGACUGGAAUUCCUGGUGUAGCGGUGAAAUGCGCAGAUAUCAGGAGGAACACCGAUGGCGAAGGCAGGUCUCUGGGCCACUACUGACGCUGAGAAGCGAAAGCAUGGGGAGCGAGCAGG